GGGUUGUGAGGUUAAGCGACUAAGCGUACACGGUGGAUGCCCUGGCAGUCAGAGGCGAUGAAGGGCGUGCUAAUCUGCGAUAAGCGCCGGUAAGGUGAUAUGAACCGUUAUAACCGGCGAUACCCGAAUGGGGAAACCCAGUGUGACUCGUCACACUAUCAUUAACUGAAUCCAUAGGUUAAUGAGGCGAACCGGGGGAACUGAAACAUCUAAGUACCCCGAGGAAAAGAAAUCAACCGAGAUUCCCCCAGUAGCGGCGAGCGAACGGGGAGGAGCCCAGAGCCUGAAUCAGCAUGUGUGUUAGUGGAAGCGUCUGGAAAGGCGCGCGAUACAGGGUGACAGCCCCGUACACAAAAGCGCAUGUGCUGUGAGCUCGAUGAGUAGGGCGGGACACGUGGUAUCCUGUCUGAAUAUGGGGGGACCAUCCUCCAAGGCUAAAUACUCCUGACUGACCGAUAGUGAACCAGUACCGUGAGGGAAAGGCGAAAAGAACCCCGGCGAGGGGAGUGAAAAAGAACCUGAAACCGUGUACGUACAAGCAGUGGGAGCCCCACCACUAAGCCAGUGGUGAACUCCACAUACGCAUCCUUUGCUGAGGAUACGGUUAA
RNAcentral lists this ribosomal RNA (608 nucleotides) under Salmonella enterica subsp. enterica serovar Bovismorbificans. Its description in RNAcentral is "partial 23S ribosomal RNA". It matches the Rfam family "Bacterial large subunit ribosomal RNA", at positions 1 to 626 of the family's 2925-position model. The record is from RNAcentral. Lineage: Bacteria; Pseudomonadati; Pseudomonadota; Gammaproteobacteria; Enterobacterales; Enterobacteriaceae.